This 406-nucleotide ribosomal RNA is filed under the name uncultured bacterium. RNAcentral's name for it is "partial 16S ribosomal RNA". It matches the Rfam family "Bacterial small subunit ribosomal RNA", at positions 30 to 526 of the family's 1533-position model. The record is from RNAcentral.
AUUGAACGCUGGCGGCAGGCCUAACACAUGCAAGUCGAACGAGUGGCGGACGGGUGAGUAAUGUCUGGGAAAAUGCCUGAUGGAGGGGGAUAACUACUGGAAACGGUAGCUAAUACCGCAUACCAUCGGAUGUGCCCAGAUGGGAUUAGCUAGUAGGUGGGGUAAAGGCGAACCUAGGCGACGCUCCCUAGCUGGUCUGAGAGGAUGACCGGCCACACUGGGACAGCUACACGGUCCAGUCUCUUACGGGAGGCAGCAGUGGGUAAUAUUGCACAAUGGGCGCAAGCCUGCUGCAGCCAAGCGGCGUGUAUGAAGAAGGCCUUCGGGUUGUAAAGUACUUUCAGCGGAGAGGCGUUACCAGCAGAAGAAGCACCGGCUAACUCCGUGCCAGCCGCCGCGGUAAUAC